AUUGAACGCUGGCGGCAUGCUUUACACGUGCAAGUCGAACGGCAGCGCGGGGCAACCUGGCGGCGAGUGGCGAACGGGUGAGUAAUAUAUCGGAACGUACCCAGAAGUGGGGGAUAACGUAGCGAAAGUUACGCUAAUACCGCAUACGAUCUACGGAUGAAAGUAGGGGACCGCAAGGCCUUAUGCUUUUGGAGCGGCCGAUAUCUGAUUAGCUAGUUGGUGAGGUAAAGGCUCACCAAGGCGACGAUCAGUAGCUGGUCUGAGAGGACGACCAGCCACACUGGAACUGAGACACGGUCCAGACUCCUACGGGAGGCAGCAGUGGGGAAUUUUGGACAAAGGGCGCAAGCCUGAUCCAGCAAUGCCGCGUGAGUGAAGAAGGCCUUCGGGUUGUAAAGCUCUUUUGUCAGGGAAGAAACGGUAGAGGCUAAUAUCCUUUGCUAAUGACGGUACCUGAAGAAUAAGCACCGGCUAACUACGUG
Molecule: ribosomal RNA, 482 nt
Filed under: uncultured bacterium
Lineage: Bacteria
Description: partial 16S ribosomal RNA
Rfam family: Bacterial small subunit ribosomal RNA
Source: RNAcentral